GGCAAGCUACUAAGGGCGCACGGCGGAUGCCUAGGAGCAAGGAGCCGAUGAAGGGCGUGGUAAGCUGCGAUAAGCUGCGAGGAGCCGCAAACAGGCGUUGAUCCGCAGAUCCCCGAAUGGGAGAACCCGGCCACCGCAUGGGUGGUCACCCACCGCUGAACCCAUAGGCGGUGUGGAGGGAACCUGGGGAACUGAAACAUCUCAGUACCCAGAGGAAGAGAAAUCGAACGAGAUUCCCUCAGUAGCGGCGAGCGAACGGGGAAGAGCCUAAACCAAUCGGGCAUGCCCGAUUGGGGUCGUGGGACCGACAUCAGAGGACGCCUUCCGCUUAGCAGAAGUGUCUGGAAAGGCACGCCAUAGCGGGUGACAGCCCCGUAUGCGGAAAGUGGAACGCCUCGUCGGAAUCCCGAGUAGCACGGGAUAAGUGGAACCCUGUGCGAAUCUGCCCGGACCACCGGGUAAGGCUAAAUACUCCUUGCUACCGAUAGCGUAACCAGUACCGUGAGGGAACGGUGAAAAGCACCCCGGCGAGGGGAGUGAAACAGAACCUGAAACCGUGCGCUUACAAGCAGUCGGAGGACUAUACCCCUCUGGGGGACAGUCUGACGGCGUGCCUUUUGCAGAAUGAGCCGGCGAGUUGUGCUCAGCGGCAAGGUUAAGCGUCUCAGACGCGGAGCCGUAGCGAAAGCGAGUCCACACAGGGCGACCCAGUCGCUGGGUGCAGACCCGAAACCGCGCGAUCUAACCCUGGUCAGGCUGAAGCCGUGGUAACACACGGUGGAGGGCCGAACUGGUGACCGUUGAAAAGGUCUCGGAGGAACUGGGGUUAGUGUGGUGAAAUGCCAAUCGAGCGCGGAGAUAGCUGGUUCUCCCCGAAAUGCAUUGAGGUGCAGCCUCACGCGCUAUGCUAUGCAGGUAGAGCCACUGGAUGGGCUAGGGGCCCUACCAGGUUACCGAACCCAACCAAACUCCGAAUGGCAUAGCAGGAAGCGUGGGAGUGAGACAGCGACGGAUGAGCGCCGUUGUCAAAAGGGCAAUAGCCCAGAUCGCCCGCUAAGGUCCCUAAACACAGGCUAAGUGUUAAAGGAUGUAGGGUCGCGUAAACAACCAGGAGGUUGGCUUAGAAGCAGCCAUCCUUUAAACAGUGCGUAACAGCUGACUGGUCGAAUGUGACCCUGCGCCGACAAUGUAAGGGGGCUCAAGCCUGUUACCGAAGCGGCGGGCUCCCAGCAAUGGGAGCGGUAGGGGAGCGUUCUGCUCGCAGUGAAGGUGGAGCGGAAGCACCACUGGAGCGUGCAGAAGUGAGAAUGCCGGCACGAGUAGCGAGAAGACGGGUGAGAAUCCCGUCCGCCGAAAGCCUAAGGGUUCUUCAGGCAGGUUCGUCCGCUGAAGGUUAGGCGGUCCUAAGUCGAGGGCGAAAAGCCGUAGGCGAAGGGCAGUGGGUCAACAUUCCCACCCCAGGUGGUGGAGCCAAGCGGUGACGCUUCAGAAUCGGUCGGGCGCAGAGUUGGAAGGCUGCGCUCGCCUCAGGGGCAACGCUGGGGCGACGAAGGGAUCCUUCGGGUGAACGAAGCGACUGUGACUGGAGCCGAGAAAACCCGUGUAGCGUUGAAACCACCUGACCGUACCGCAAACCGACACAGGUAGGCGAGGCGAGGAGCCUCAGGCGCGCGAGAGAAGUCCCGCUAAGGAACUCGGCAAAUUGACCCCGUAACUUCGGGAGAAGGGGUGCCUCGAAAGAGGUCGCAGCAAAGCGGGCCCGGCGACUGUUUACCAAAAACACAGCUCUCUGCGAAGGGGAAACCCGAUGUAUAGGGGGCGACGCUUGGCCAAUGCCCGUAGGUUAAGGGGAGGGGUCAGCCGCAAGGUGCAGCCCUGAACUGAAGCCCGGGUGAAUGCCGGCCGUAACUCUAACGGUUCGUCACAGGGCCGUUGUAAAAUCUGGCUAUAUGCUGGAACAGCUCGUGUAUCCCACACUACCGAGGAGGUGACAAUGUGAUGGGUGGAGCCAAUCAGCAGGAAAGACUUGAAGUCACCGAAGAGGCGAAAUGGUUCCUCGCCGGGUUCAUCGAAGGCGAAGGCUCGCUGCUGGUGAGCAUCAAACACCACGCAACCAGCCGCUACGGAUACUAUGUUGACCCAGAGUUCCAUCUGGUGCAACACUGCAGCGGACUGCCCCUGCUCAAACUCGCCCAGCAAGUCUUCGGCACAGGACGCAUCUUCCCCAAACCGGGAAGCCCCAACUGCUAUGUCUACGCCAUCCACUGUAGGCGUAGCCUGUGGGAAAAGGUCGUGCCCUACUUCGAAAAGUAUGUGGCGCCCUUUUCAUGCAAGCGCGAAACCUUCUAUCGGUUCCGCGAAAUCCUGGAGCUGAUGAACCAAGGGGAACACCGCCGCCCUGAGGGGCUGGCGCGCAUCGUCGAGAAGGCGUAUGCGAUGAACCCAGCCGCUAAGGGAAAGCAACGGCUUCGACCGCUGCAAGAGGUGAUUUCAAGAAUCCUCAGAGACCAUACGCCAGACGCUCCGCAACACCCUGCGGAGUGAUGAUAUGGUCCAGUCCCUAUGGCGACAUAGGGGGCAACUGCCUAUGGUAGCGAAAUUCCUUGUCGCGUAAAUUGCGACCCGCACGAAAAGCGUAACGACUGGGCCACUGUCUCAGCGGGACUCUCGGUGAAACUGUAGCACCCGUGAAGAUGCGGGUUACCUGCGGUAGGACGGAAAGACCCUAUGGAGCUUUACUACAGCUUGAGAUUGCAUUUCGGUAUGUCAUGUAGAGCGUAGGUGGGAGCCUCGGCGCCAAUGGAACACCACCCUUGACCUACUGGAAUGCUAACCUGCGCCGUGAUCCGGCGUGGAGACAGUCUUAGGCGGGUAGUUUGACUGGGGCGGUCGCCUCAACAUGGGGCGCCCUGAUGGCAACAUCAGGGGCAAACUCGGCUAUAUGCUGGGAAGUCCGUCCCCUCACUUCAAGCCCUCUCCGUGCUUGAAGGAAGGGGUGUAGUGUCCAGCGCUAGUGGCGAACACGCCACUGAAAAUGCGACUGGCGCGGACAAUCAGCAGGGAAGUCUUCGUGACCCCUCAACGACUGUACGCCGAGCAUCCAUGCAGCGCAUGGAUGGUGAGACAGUCUGAACUUCCGAGCGAUCGGAAGCCUCUCCAUGAGGCGUCCAGCAACACAGCGGAGGACGACAUGGCACGCAACCACGCACUCGAAGCCUACAAAGAGACGCUGAAACUUACCCGCGUGCAGCGCGAAACACUGGUCGGUCUGCUAUUGGGCGACGCGCACCUCGAAACCCAAAACCGAGGGCGCACCUAUCGCCUCAAAAUCGAGCAGUCGGACAAGCACGCCGCGUAUGUGCAGCACCUCUACACCCUCUUCGAAGCGUGGGUACUGACACCGCCACAACAAAAAUCCACAGGCAAGUGGUGGUUUCAGACGAUUAGCCAUGGCGCGUUCCGCUACUAUGCGCAGCAGUUUUAUCGCGACGGACGCAAGGUCGUCCCUGCGCAGAUUCAUCGCCUGCUCAAACCGCGAAGCUUAGCGUACUGGUUCAUGGACGACGGUUCCACUAAAGACCGCCACUCCAGAGCUGUGGUUCUCCACACGCAAGGCUUUGCACAGGCGGAGGUCGCGCGACUGGCGCAAACGCUCACAGAAAAGUUUGCGCUGGAGACCUAUCUGCGUCGCCAGUCGGAAGGGCAUCAGGUCGUCAUUCGGGGCGCAAGCCUCGAGCGGUUCCUCGAACUGGUAGAGCCGUACCUGAUCCCUGAAAUGCGAUACAAGCUGCCGCCUGCUGGGCGAACGCAAUUGCCUAAACGGUAACGGAGGCGUCCAAAGGUCCGCUCAGCGCGGUCGGAAAUCGCGCGUCGAGUGCAAGGGCAUAAGCGGGCUUGACUGUGAGACCAACGGGUCGAGCAGAUGCGAAAGCAGGGCCUAGUGACCCUCUGGCUGUGCGUGGGCACGCCAGGGUUCAACGGAUAAAAGCUACCCUAGGGAUAACAGGCUGAUCCUGCCCGAGCGUCCACAGCGACGGCGGGGUUUGGCACCUCGAUGUCGGCUCGUCGCAUCCUGGGGCUGAAUAGGGUCCCAAGGGUUGGGGGGUUCACCCAUUAAAGCGGCACGCGAGCUGGGUUCAGAACGUUAGCCCAACAGGGCGUGGCGUCCCACAGGAGUAAUCCUGUGGUGCCUACCGGCUCAUAUCGGUAGACCCCUCCUGCAGUCACCGAACGCUGCAGAGGGCAAUACCGAGGGAAGAACGGGAGCUGAAGAUGAAGGAACCUGAUUUCUGCAGUAAUGCGGUGCAAGCUGCCGUUCCCCGUAACGACUGAAGGCUUUACGCCUGAGAUGGGCGUCCUGCCCUAAGCAAGGGCAAAUCUAUGGCGCUCAUCACACGCCGGCUCCUCCUUGUCCUUCGGGAGGAUGGAGGUAUAGUCUACACCCUUGGAAACAAGGGAGAAAUGUGCGUGAGACAGUUCGGUCCCUAUCCACCGCAGGCGUAGGAGACUUGAGGGGAGCUGGCCCUAGUACGAGAGGACCGGGCUGGACUGACCUCUGGUGUACCAGUUGUCCCGCCAGGGGCAGACGCUGGGUAGCCAUGUCGGGACGGGAUAAGCGCUGAAAGCAUCUAAGCGCCAAGCCCACCCCAAGAUAAGGUCUCCCAUCCGGGCAACGGAGUAAGGUCCCCAGUAGAUGACUGGGUUGAUAGGCGGCAGGUGUAAGCGCAGUAAUGCGUUGAGCUGAGCCGUACUAAUUGACCGAGGGCUUGCCUA
RNAcentral lists this ribosomal RNA (4773 nucleotides) under Armatimonadota bacterium. Its description in RNAcentral is "Armatimonadetes bacterium (sediment metagenome) 23S ribosomal RNA". It matches the Rfam family "Bacterial large subunit ribosomal RNA". The record is from RNAcentral. Lineage: Bacteria; Bacillati; Armatimonadota.